This 91-nucleotide transfer RNA is filed under the name Micromonospora sp. MW-13. Its description in RNAcentral is "tRNA-Glu". Lineage: Bacteria; Bacillati; Actinomycetota; Actinomycetes; Micromonosporales; Micromonosporaceae. The record is from RNAcentral.
ACCCAGGUGCGCCGGCGCGGCGGCCGGCUCUCGGCCGGGCAACGGCAGCUCGUGGCGUUCGCCCGGGCGUUCCUCGCCGACCCCCGGGUGC